GAGGAAAGUCCGGGCUCUAUUUAUAAAAAGAAUGUUAUAUAAAAUAUAAUGUAGGAGACUAUGAGGAUAGUGCCACAGAAAUAUACCGCUUUUGUUUAAAGUAAGGGUGCAAGGGUUCGGUAAGAGCGUACCAGAAAUAUUCUUAAAAUAUUUGCUAGGUAAACCCCAUUUUAGAGCAAAGUAAUCUAUGAAGUCUUAGUUUAUUUUAUUUAUAAGUUAGAUAAGUGACAUGGCUUAGAUGAUGAGCAUACAUUAUACUGCUUAAAAGUAUAUUUUUUACUUAAGAUUAAUAAUUACCCUUCUAUAUUUGUAGUUUAUUUUAUAAAUAUUCUACUUCAUGAAGAACAAAACCCGGCUUAC
Molecule: RNase P RNA, 360 nt
Filed under: Chondria sp. (in: red algae)
Lineage: Eukaryota; Rhodophyta; Florideophyceae; Ceramiales; Rhodomelaceae
Description: Chondria sp. (in: Rhodophyta) rnpB
Rfam family: Bacterial RNase P class A (bases 2-176)
Source: RNAcentral